This 2817-nucleotide ribosomal RNA is filed under the name Calothrix parasitica NIES-267. RNAcentral describes it as "bacterial LSU rRNA". It matches the Rfam family "Bacterial large subunit ribosomal RNA". The record is from RNAcentral. Lineage: Bacteria; Bacillati; Cyanobacteriota; Cyanophyceae; Nostocales; Calotrichaceae.
UCAAGCUACAAAGGGCUAAUGGUGGAUACCUAGGCACGUAGAGGCGAUGAAGGACGUGGCUACCGACGAAACGUUCCGGGGAGCUGGAAGCAAGCGAUGAGCCGGAAAUGUCCGAAUGGGACAACCCUUAAUACGACCUGUUGAAUAUAUAGACAGGAACGAGCCAACCCGGCGAAUUGAAACAUCUUAGUAGCCGGAGGAAGAGAAAACAAAAGUGAUUCCCCUAGUAGCGGUGAGCGGACGGGGAACAGCCUAAACUGUAUUGCUUGCAAUACAGGGUUGUGGGACAGCGACAUGGAAUCCAUAGAUUAGAUGAAGCAGCGAAAUACUGCACCAGAGAAGGUGAAAGUCCUGUAGUCGAAAAUUGAUUGGAUACUAGCUGUAUCCCGAGUAGGUAGGGGCACGUGAAAUCCCUAUUGAAUCAGCGAGGACCAUCUCGUAAGGCUAAAUACUACUACGUGACCGAUAGCGAAAAGUACCGCGAGGGAAAGGUGAAAAGAACCCCGGAAGGGGAGUGAAAUAGAACAUGAAACCAUUAGCCUACAAGCAGUUGAAGCACGAUUAAACGUGUGACAGCGUGCCUGUUGAAGAAUGAGCCGGCGACUUAUAGGUACUGGUAGGUUAAGGCGGGAAUGCCGGAGCCAAAGAGAAAUCGAGUCUGAAUAGGGCGUUAAUCAGUAUUUAUAGACCCGAACCCUGGCGAUCUAACCAUGCCCAGGAUGAAGCUUGGGUAACACCAAGUGGAGGUCCGAACCGACUGAUGUUGAAAAAUCAGCGGAUGAGGUGUGGUUAGCGGUGAAAUGCCAAUCGAGCCAGGAGCUAGCUGGUUCUCCCCGAAAUGUGUUGAGGCGCAGCGGUAAUGAUUAUAUCUGGGGGGUAAAGCACUGUUUCGGUGCGGGCUGCGAGAGCGGUACCAAAUCGAUGCAAACUCAGAAUACCCAGAGAACACAUUGCCAGUGAGACGGUGGGGGAUAAGCUUCAUCGUCAAGAGGGAAACAGCCCAGACCGCCAGCUAAGGUCCCAAAAUUAUUACUAAGUGGCAAAGGAGGUGGGAGUGCAUAGACAACCAGGAGGUUUGCCUAGAAGCAGCCAUCCUUGAAAGAGUGCGUAAUAGCUCACUGGUCAAGCGCUCCUGCGCCGAAAAUGAACGGGACUAAGUAAUAUACCGAAGCUGCGGACUUACAUUGUAAGUGGUAGGGGAGCGUUCUAUACGGGUAGAAGCAAUAGCGGCGAGCAGUUGUGGACUGUAUAGAAGUGAGAAUGUCGGCUUGAGUAGCGAAAAUAUAUGUGAGAAUCAUAUACCCCGAAACCCUAAGGGUUCCUCCGCCAGGUUCGUCCUCGGAGGGUUAGCCGGGACCUAAGGCGAGGCUGAAAAGCGUAGUCGAUGGACAUAGGGUCAAUAAUCCCUAGCUAUUAAGUGGGAGCAUAAUCAGGACGCAUUAAGGAUAGCUACACCCUGAUUGGAUUGGGAGUUCUCCACGGAGAACGCGUAGUGAAGAAUAGUGCCAAGAAAAGCCGAUUAUGUGUUGAAAGCUUAGUACCCGUACCCGAAACCGACACAGGUAGGGAGGUUGAGUAAACUAAGGGGCGCGAGAUAACUCUCUCUAAGGAACUCGGCAAAAUGACCCCGUAACUUCGGAAGAAGGGGUGCCUGCGAGAGCAGGUCACAGUAAAGAGGCCCAGGCGACUGUUUACCAAAAACACAGGUCUCUGCAAACUCGUAAGAGGACGUAUAGGGGCUGACGCCUGCCCAGUGCCGGAAGGUUAAGGAAGUUGGUCAGUCCUUCGGGAUGAAGCUAACGACUGAAGCCCCGGUGAACGGCGGCCGUAACUAUAACGGUCCUAAGGUAGCGAAAUUCCUUGUCGGGUAAGUUCCGACCCGCACGAAAGGCGUAACGAUCUGGGCACUGUCUCGGAGAGAGGCUCGGCGAAAUAGGAUUGUCUGUGAAGAUACGGACUACCUGCACCCGGACAGAAAGACCCUAUGAAGCUUUACUGUAGUCUGGAAUUGGGUUCGGGCUUGGCUUGCGCAGUAUAGGUGGGAGGCGUUGAAGCAUUCCUUGUGGGGAAUGUGGAGCCAACAGUGAGAUACCACUCUAGCGAAGCUAGAAUUCUAACCUACUUCCGUUAGCCGGAAGAGGAACAGUUUCAGAUGGGCAGUUUGACUGGGGCGGUCGCCUCCUAAAAGGUAACGGAGGCGCGCAAAGGUUCUCUCAGCACGCUUGGAAACCGUGCGUCGAGUGUAAAGGCAAUAAGAGAGCUUGACUGCAAGACCUACAAGUCGAGCAGGGACGAAAGUCGGCCUUAGUGAUCCGACGGCUCAGAAUGGAAUGGCCGUCGCUCAACGGAUAAAAGUUACUCUAGGGAUAACAGGCUGAUCUCCCCCAAGAGUCCACAUCGACGGGGAGGUUUGGCACCUCGAUGUCGGCUCAUCGCAACCUGGGGCGGAAGUACGUCCCAAGGGUUGGGCUGUUCGCCCAUUAAAGCGGUACGUGAGCUGGGUUCAGAACGUCGUGAGACAGUUCGGUCCAUAUCCGGUGCAGGCGCAAGAACAUUGAGAGGAGUCCUCCUUAGUACGAGAGGACCGGGAGGGACGCACCGCUGGUGUACCAGUUAUCGUGCCAACGGUAAACGCUGGGUAGCCAAGUGCGGAGCGGAUAACCGCUGAAAGCAUCUAAGUGGGAAGCCCACCUCAAGAUGAGUGUUCUCACUACGUAAGUAGGUAAGGUCACGGGAAGAAUACCCGUUUAUAGGUGGUAGGUGGAAGUGCAGUAAUGUAUGUAGCCGAGCCAUUCUAACAGACCGAGGGCUUGACCU